RNAcentral lists this long non-coding RNA (246 nucleotides) under Brassica napus (rape). RNAcentral's name for it is "long non-coding RNA (BNAP_LNC025185)". The record is from RNAcentral. Lineage: Eukaryota; Viridiplantae; Streptophyta; Magnoliopsida; Brassicales; Brassicaceae.
GGUGAUUGGUUAGGAUUGUGAUUUGGUUGUAUAAUAAGUUUAGAAUUGUGAUUUGGUUGAAUAAUUUGUUUUGUUGAAUUGAUUUAGAAUUUUUUUAGAAUUUUUUUAUUUUUUUUGUAUUUAUAAAAUCGAUUUUUGUAUAUAAAAUCGAUUUUUGUAUUUUACAAAACGAUUUUUCUAUAUAAAUUCGAUUUUUGGAUUUUACAAAAUCUUUUUUGUAUAUAAAUUCGAUUUUUUGGAUUUUAC